Molecule: ribosomal RNA, 468 nt
Filed under: uncultured Glomus
Lineage: Eukaryota; Fungi; Glomeromycota; Glomeromycetes; Glomerales; Glomeraceae
Description: SSU rRNA
Rfam family: Eukaryotic small subunit ribosomal RNA
Source: RNAcentral
UUCCAGUCCAAUAGCGUAUAUUAAAGUUGUUGCAGUUAAAAAGCUCGUAGUUGAAUUUCGGGGUUAGUAGGUUGGUCAUGCCUCCGGUAUGUACUGAUCUCACUGAUUCCUCCUUCCUUAUGAACCGUAAUGCCAUUAAUUUGGUGUUGCGGGGAAUUUGGACUGUUACUUUGAAAAAAUUAGAGUGUUUAAAGUAGGCUAACGCUUGAAUACAUUAGCAUGGAAUAAUGAAAUAGGACGUUCGAUCUUAUUUUGUUGGUUUCUAGGAUUGACGUAAUGAUUAAUAGGGAUAGUUGGGGGCAUUAGUAUUCAAUUGUCAGAGGUGAAAUUCUUGGAUUUAUUGAAGACUAACUACUGCGAAAGCAUUUGCCAAGGAUGUUUUCAUUAAUCAAGAACGAAAGUUAGGGGAUCGAAGACGAUCAGAUACCGUCGUAGUCUUAACCAUAAACUAUGCCGACUAGGGAUCGG